UUUGGCAUCACUAAACAAUUAAAACUUCGGUGGUUAUAGAUGAGCAUGCGUCCUAUUAGCUUGUUGGUAAGGUAACGGCUUACCAAGGCAACGAUAGGUAGGGGGCCUGAAAGGGUGAUCCCCCACACUGGUACUGAGACACGGACCAGACUCCUACGGGAGGCAGCAGUGAGGAAUAUUGCGCAAUGGAGGAAACUCUGACGCAGCCAUGCCGCGUGCAGGAAGACGGCCCUACGGGUUGUAAACUGCUUUUAUAUAGGAAGAAACCCCGAUACGUGUAUCGGCUUGACGGUACUAUAUGAAUAAGGACCGGCUAACUCCGUGCCAGCAGCCGCGGUAAUACGGAGGGUCCAAGCGUUAUCCGGAUUUAUUAGGUUUAAAGGGUCCGCAGGCGGGAUAUUAAGUCAGUGGUGAAAGCCUACAGCUCAACUGUAGAACUGCCAUUGAUACUGAUAUUCUUGAGUGUGGUUGAAGUAGGCGGAACAUGUCAUGUAGCGGUGAAAUGCAUAGAUAUGACAUAGAACACCAAUUGCGAAGGCAGCUUACUAAGCCAUUACUGACGCUGAGGGACGAAAGCGUGGGGAGCGAACAGGAUUAGAUACCCUGGUAGUCCACGCCGUAAACGAUGAUCACUCGUUGCUAGCAAUACACUGUUAGUGACCAAGCGAAAGUGUUAAGUGAUCCACCUGGGAAGUACGUUCGCAAGAAUGAAACUCAAAGGAAUUGACGGGGGCCCGCACAAGCGGUGGAGCAUGUGGUUUAAUUCGAUGAUACGCGAGGAACCUUACCAGGGCUUAAAUGCAGAAUGACAGAUUGGGAAACCAGUCCUUCUUCGGACAUUUUGCAAGGUGCUGCAUGGUUGUCGUCAGCUCGUGCCGUGAGGUGUCAGGUUA
RNAcentral lists this ribosomal RNA (893 nucleotides) under uncultured Bacteroidota bacterium. Its description in RNAcentral is "bacterial SSU rRNA". It matches the Rfam family "Bacterial small subunit ribosomal RNA", at positions 182 to 1082 of the family's 1533-position model. Lineage: Bacteria; Pseudomonadati; Bacteroidota. The record is from RNAcentral.